RNAcentral lists this transfer RNA (74 nucleotides) under Koliella longiseta. RNAcentral's name for it is "tRNA-Asp". It matches the Rfam family "tRNA". From Rfam's summary of the family: Transfer RNA (tRNA) molecules are approximately 80 nucleotides in length. Their secondary structure includes four short double-helical elements and three loops (D, anti-codon, and T loops). The record is from RNAcentral. RNAcentral also lists the same sequence under 2 other names. Lineage: Eukaryota; Viridiplantae; Chlorophyta; Trebouxiophyceae; Prasiolales; Koliellaceae.
GGGACUGUAGUUCAAUUGGUUAGAGCACUGCCCUGUCACGGCAGAAGUUGCGGGUUCGAGUCCCGUCAGUCCCG